Salmo salar (Atlantic salmon) is the source of this 54-nucleotide non-coding RNA. The record is from Rfam. NCBI's taxonomy places the organism in Eukaryota, Metazoa, Chordata, Actinopteri, Salmoniformes, Salmonidae.
AAUGCACCAAUUUGUAAGUCGCUCUGGAUAAGAGCAUCUGCUAAAUGACUUAAG